GUAUUGACUGCCGAAGACAGUAGGUGCCGCAAGGCGUAAGGGGUGACCGCCUACCGAGGAAAUGUACAAAACUCACUGAGUGAUUGUAGACCUCUCUGUCUUUGUGACGGAGAGGUUUUUCUUUG
RNAcentral lists this small RNA (125 nucleotides) under Hungatella hathewayi. RNAcentral's name for it is "Ribosomal protein L10 leader". It matches the Rfam family "Ribosomal protein L10 leader", at positions 17 to 133 of the family's 138-position model. Rfam says of the family: This family is a putative r-protein leader autoregulatory structure found in B. subtilis and other low-GC Gram-positive bacteria. It is located in the 5' untranslated regions of mRNAs encoding ribosomal proteins L10 and L12 (rplJ-rplL). A Rho-independent transcription terminator structure that is probably involved in regulation is included at the 3' end. The record is from RNAcentral. Lineage: Bacteria; Bacillati; Bacillota; Clostridia; Lachnospirales; Lachnospiraceae.